This 294-nucleotide ribosomal RNA is filed under the name uncultured Pseudomonas sp. Its description in RNAcentral is "partial 16S ribosomal RNA". It matches the Rfam family "Bacterial small subunit ribosomal RNA", at positions 1091 to 1382 of the family's 1533-position model. Lineage: Bacteria; Pseudomonadati; Pseudomonadota; Gammaproteobacteria; Pseudomonadales; Pseudomonadaceae. The record is from RNAcentral.
AACGAGCGCAACCCUUGUCCUUAGUUACCAGCACGUUAUGGUGGGCACUCUAAGGAGGAACUGCCGGUGACAAACCGGAGGAAGGUGGGGAUGACGUCAAGUCAUCAUGGCCCUUACGGCCUGGGCUACACACGUGCUACAAUGGUCGGUACAAAGGGUUGCCAAGCCGCGAGGUGGAGCUAAUCCCAUAAAACCGAUCGUAGUCCGGAUCGCAGUCUGCAACUCGACUGCGUGAAGUCGGAAUCGCUAGUAAUCGUGAAUCAGAAUGUCACGGUGAAUACGUUCCCGGGCCUU